UACGUAGGGGGCAAGCGUUGUCCGGAAUCAUUGGGCGUAAAGCGCGUGUAGGCGGCUCGGUAAGUCCGCUCUGAAAGUCCAGGGCUCAACCCUGGGAUGCGGGUGGAUACUGCCGGGCUCGAGUCCGGAAGAGGCGAGUGGAAUUCCCGGUGUAGCGGUGAAAUGCGCAGAUAUCGGGAGGAACACCAAUGGCGAAGGCAGCUCGCUGGGACGUGGACUGACGC
Molecule: ribosomal RNA, 224 nt
Filed under: uncultured bacterium
Lineage: Bacteria
Description: partial 16S ribosomal RNA
Rfam family: Bacterial small subunit ribosomal RNA
Source: RNAcentral